GGGUUUAGAAUUUAAGGUUUAGGGUAUAGCUGCGUUAGCGUCGUUAAAAUUAACAUUUUUAUUUUUUUUUAGCUAUUUUUUAUUUAAUUUAAUGUUUUUUAAUUAAUAAUCUACGUGACACUUUAAUUGGUCUUUAAGAGUGGGGUGAAUUUAAAGGUAACCUAAGUUUUGUUCUUUUUGUUUUGUUUUGGAAGUAUAAUAGGAUAGUUGAAAGUGUAGGAGGAGUGAAAGAUGUGAAAGAAGGAGACUAUGUGAUUCCCACUUUCAAUGGAGAAUGUGGUGAAUGUAGAGUGUGUACGAAUGGAGUAAGUAAUCUCUGUGAGAGAUAUAAAGUGGAUCCAAUGAAAAGACUGAUGGUUAACGAUGGAGGGACGAGAUUCUCAACCACCACAAACAAAGACGGUGGUUCGAGCCAGAAGCAACGCGUUUAUCACUUCCUUAACACAUCCACGUUCACUGAAUACACCGUCUUGGACUCGGCUUGCGUCGUCAAGAUCGAUCCUAAUGCUCCUCUCAAGCAAAUGAGCCUCUUGAGCUGUGGUGUCUCCACUGGUUAGUUAUAUCUCUCAAAUAGAAAACUAGAAGCAUAAAUUGGGUCCAUAUGAUCUUAAGCAUUGAUGAUUCUUUUAUGAGAAAUGACUUGUAAUGACUCUAAUCAUUCAUGUUAUUACUAGACUAACUCUUAUAAUUUUGUAAUUAUUAGAACAAUACAUCUAUCAAGCAAAUGUACACAAAACACCCUGUCUAAUAUAUUUUUUUUAAUAGAACUUCUCUUUUUCUCAAUAUGGGAGAAAACAGAUGCUUCAUCUCAAUCAUAUUCUGAUUCACCUAGAUAACCCUAAAUUGUCAUCCUCUUCGUCACGUCCACCUCUGCCUGCACUUUCUCCGUCAUCUCUACCUCAGGUCUGCGAUCACCUCCCUCACCUUCUCCAACUACUUCUGUAGCGAUUCGUAAACCACACAUUCAUCAUUGGAGAUCUCUAAAUCUCUUUACAAGAUAACCUUUGAAUCUGUAAGUCAUGAAUCUUUGGUAAUCCAAUUAAUUUUGUCAUCUGGUUAAUUAUCUCCUGAAAAACAAAAGCCUUUCAAAUUUGGGUUUUAUUGAUUUGACGUUAACAAAGGUUCCUAUUUUUUCUUAAUAGAGAGCUUAGCAAAUGAUCAUCGUAUAGCGUUUUGGUACAAAUAUUAGAAUUGAAUUUUGUGUGAAAAAAGAGAAAAAAAAAUGGAAUUGAAUUUUGUACUUUUGCAGAAGCAAAAACUUAACACGUGACGUGGGUGAAUCGAGAGUCUCCGAGGGAGCCUUAUCCGAUCAAUUACUGUCUCACUCAUUCUCCAUCUGCUCGAUGAAGAUGUCUUGCUUGGUCUCAUUAACUUGCUCGUUCGUCCCCUUCGACACAAGUCUGACUCGGCCAACUCAUUCCAUCAUUAUCUCAUCUCCUAUUGUCAACAAGGAGUCUUAUUGUACAAGCUGCGUGGACUCGAAGAUCACGCGGUGAAGCAGCGAAAAGACCCAACAGGGAGUCAUGGAAGCAAAGAACAGACACGCACAUGAGACCUUUCCUGCUCAAUGUCUUCUUCUACAGGAAGUUCAUUCAUGCCAAAGUGAUGCAUAGGCCAACAAGAAAAGUCAUUUCAGUUGCCACCACAAAUGCAAGAAAUAUAAGGACUAAUAUACCGUAGGCUCAUAGCUGAGCGUUCAAUGGAAGCAGACGAGUAUGAUGUGUCUUAUAAGCCAAGAAAGGGUGAAAGAAUUGAAGGGAAGCUAGGGAUUGUAUUGAUACCAUUAAGGAACAUGGCACUGUUUUUGUUCCUUGAUUCUUUGUUGCAAAACAUUUGUGUUACCAAGAAAGGUUUGUGUUUUGUUUCCUUAAUGUUCAUACCCAAACUCGUCAGGUACUUCAUCCUUCGAAACCCUAAACUCAGGAUAGUUGAAAGUUUUCAAAAAAGAAUCAUUUAUGUAUGUACCAAAGUCAAGACUUGGCAUUCGAUAGAUUAUAGUUAACUGUAAGAGUCUUCUUAAAGCUGUUAUCUUCAUAGGAAAGAAAAAUAAAAAACAAGCUAGGCUUACAGAAACUGUAAGCUCCAACUCGUGUUCUGAGAAAUCAACUCCAUAAUUCUCAUAUAUGAUUUUUAGAAAAUCCUCAUAUAUGAAUUUUAGAAAAUCCUCAUAUCUAGUUUCUUCGGCCGCAAGUAAUUUACUAUCUUGAUCAUUAUACACUUCAAAUAACCAUUUCUUUCUUUCAAAUUUUCACUUUCCACAGACGAAAAUAAUGUGAUCCAUAUUUUCCAAGUAAUAAAGAUUGCAAACAAGUGAUUAAACCACCAUGAAAAGGGACAAAUUGAUAAGGAAGAAAAGAUGGAUGAAAGAGAUGACGACAAUUACCAAAAAUUUAUCUAAUUACGAUUGUAAUUAACCUAAAAAUAAACCAUAUUCGAAAAUAAUAUAAACCGGGUCGAAAUUGAACAUUAAACUAAGUGUGGUUUACUUAAACUCAUAUUUCCGUCAACAAAUCUGCAACAACAUAAAUUAAAAAGUCUGUGACCACAUAAAAAAAAGUCUACCAACUAUUUUAAGUCGGAUAUAUAACUCUGCCAUAAGAAAACAAGUCGAAUGUAAGAAAAUAAAUCGGUUCAUAAGAAAAUAAGUUGACCACAAAAAUUUACCAUUUAUAACAAAUUUGCUAUCUCAUUCGCCAGACAUAUUAUAAAAAAUCUGUUUUAUAUUCAAAUCGGACGAUUAACUCUGCCGUGGAAACAAAUUUGACGUUUCUACGAAAGUCUGACACCACUUUAACGGUGGAUUUAUUUUUCUAAAUAGAUUUUAUAAACAGACUUAUUACUCGAUAGAUUUAUUUUUUUUAAAAUAAAUCUACCGCCGACAAAUGCUAAGGGUACUUCGGUAAUUUUCUUUUUUGUUAUAACUAUGAGCAAGGACAAUUUUGACCAGAAAAAUAUUCUAAUAAUUUUCAAAAAAUAUGAGUCAUUCUAGUAAUAACACAAUAAAUUUGUGUCAUUUUAGUAAACUUCCCUUCUUUUAUUUUCUUUUUUGGAUUUUUGAAUACAAAUGUCAUUAUUAUCUCCGAUUAGGGAUCUAAUAUUAUUAUCUCCGAUUAGGGAUCUAAUAUAUAUAGUGAGCUUUGGGAGUAGCUAGGGAACACGAGAGGAGAUAGGACCUUUCUUUCAGAAACACCAUUUUUUUUCUCGUUGUCUCUGUCAAAUAAGGUAGGUGUGGGAGCAGCUUGGAACACUGCCAAUGUGAAGGAAGGAACAACCACUGCUGUCUUUGGAUUGGGUUCUGUUGGACUCGCUGUUGCUGAAGGUGCAAGAGCAAGAGGAGUUUCUAGGAUCAUUGGUGUUGACGCUAAUGCUUCCAAAUUUGAGAAAGGUAAACUGGGUAUAACAGAUUUCGUAAACCCUAAAGACUUAACAAAGCCAGUACAUGAGAGGAUUCGAGAGCUAAUGAGUGGAGGCGUGGACUAUAGCUUCGAAUGUACAGGAAACGUCGAUGUUCUUCGCGAACCUUUUUAUCCACUCAAGCAGGUUGGGGAUCGACGGUGCUUGUAGGAAUUUAUCCGACACCAAAAACAUUGCCUCUUCAUCCAAUGGAACUUUUCGACGACCGCACAAUCACCGGUUCUAUAUUCGGUGGUUUCAAGCCCAAAUCUCAGCUUCCAAAUUUUGCUCAACAAUGCAUGAAAGGGGUUGUGAAAUUAGAACCUUUUAUUACGAAUGAGCUUCCAUUUGAGAAGAUAAACGAUGUGUUUCAGCUGCUUCGCGAUGAAAAAUCUCUUCGUUGUGUUCUCCAAAUCUCUAAAUUUCUCAAGAAAUGAUUCUACGUAUCUUCCCAAAGUUUACUAUUAUAUAAUCAACAAACACUUCUAUUUGUAUCAUUUAUUUUUUUAUCAUAAAUUUAUGAAUAUCAUCAGUAGUCCGAUGAUAUAAACAUUAUUUGUGCUCAGUUAUUAGUUAAUUUGAUUAAACUCAAAUGA
Long non-coding RNA from Brassica napus (rape), 3989 nucleotides. RefSeq lists it as uncharacterized. Lineage: Eukaryota; Viridiplantae; Streptophyta; Magnoliopsida; Brassicales; Brassicaceae. The transcript has 7 exons. The record is from RefSeq and is a predicted model, not a curated record.